GGGGGUUUAGCUCAGCUGGGAGAGCAUCUGCCUUACAAGCNNGGUCACAGGUUCGAGCCCUGUAGUCCCCACCA
Molecule: transfer RNA, 74 nt
Filed under: Clostridiales bacterium
Lineage: Bacteria; Bacillati; Bacillota; Clostridia; Eubacteriales
Description: tRNA-Val
Rfam family: tRNA
About the family: Transfer RNA (tRNA) molecules are approximately 80 nucleotides in length. Their secondary structure includes four short double-helical elements and three loops (D, anti-codon, and T loops).
Source: RNAcentral